This 1020-nucleotide ribosomal RNA is filed under the name Coniella fragariae. RNAcentral's name for it is "SSU rRNA". It matches the Rfam family "Eukaryotic small subunit ribosomal RNA", at positions 75 to 1105 of the family's 1831-position model. Lineage: Eukaryota; Fungi; Ascomycota; Sordariomycetes; Diaporthales; Schizoparmaceae. The record is from RNAcentral.
UAAACGGCGAAACUGCGAAUGGCUCAUUAAAUCAGUUAUCGUAUAUUUGAUAGUACCUACUACAUGGAUAACCGUGGUAAUUCUAGAGCUAAUACAUGCUUAAAAUCCCGACUUCGGAAGGGAUGUAUUUAUUAGAUUAAAAACCAAUGCCCUUCGGGGCUCACUGGUGAUUCAUAAUAACUUCUCGAAUCGCAUGGCCUUGUGCCGGCGAUGGUUCAUUCAAAUUUCUGCCCUAUCAACUUUCGACGGCUGGGUAUUGGCCAGCCGUGGUUACAACGGGUAACGGAGGGUUAGGGCUUGACCCCGGAGAAGGAGCCUGAGAAACGGCUACUACAUCCAAGGAAGGCAGCAGGCGCGCAAAUUACCCAAUCCCGAUACGGGGAGGUAGUGACAAUAAAUACUGAUACAGGGCUCUUUUGGGUCUUGUAAUUGGAAUGAGUACAAUUUAAAUCCCUUAACGAGGAACAAUUGGAGGGCAAGUCUGGUGCCAGCAGCCGCGGUAAUUCCAGCUCCAAUAGCGUAUAUUAAAGUUGUUGCAGUUAAAAAGCUCGUAGUUGAACCUUGGGCCUGGCUGGCCGGUCUGCCUCACCGCAUGCACUGGUCCGGCCGGGCCUUUCCCUCUGGGGAUCCGCAUGCCCUUCACUGGGUGUGUCGGGGAACCAGGACUUUUACUGUGAAAAAAUUAGAGUGUUCAAAGCAGGCAUAUGCUCGAAUACAUUAGCAUGGAAUAAUAGAAUAGGACGUUGCGGUUCUAUUUUGUUGGUUUCUAGGACCGCCGUAAUGAUUAAUAGGGACAGUCGGGGGCAUCAGUAUUCAAUCGUCAGAGGUGAAAUUCUUGGAUCGAUUGAAGACUAACUACUGCGAAAGCAUUUGCCAAGGAUGUUUUCAUUAAUCAGGAACGAAAGUUAGGGGAUCGAAAACGAUCAGAUACCGUUGUAGUCUUAACCAUAAACUAUGCCGACUAGGGAUCGGGCGAUGUUAUUCUUUGACUCGCUCGGCACCUUACACGAAAGUAAAGUU